GGCGCAGGCGGCUAAGUCAGUCUGGAGUGGAAUCCCGGGGCUCAACCCCGGAAUUGCUCUGGAUACUGCUUAGCUUGAGUAUGUGAGAGGAGAGUGGAAUUCCUGGUGUAGCGGUGAAAUGCGUAGAUAUCAGGAGGAACACCCAUGGCGAAAGCAACUCUCUGGCACAUCACUGACGCUGAGGCCCGAAAGCGUGGGGAGCGAACA
Molecule: ribosomal RNA, 207 nt
Filed under: uncultured bacterium
Lineage: Bacteria
Description: partial 16S ribosomal RNA
Rfam family: Bacterial small subunit ribosomal RNA
Source: RNAcentral